RNAcentral lists this ribosomal RNA (163 nucleotides) under Euptelea pleiosperma. RNAcentral describes it as "5.8S ribosomal RNA". It matches the Rfam family "5.8S ribosomal RNA". From Rfam's summary of the family: 5.8S ribosomal RNA (5.8S rRNA) is a component of the large subunit of the eukaryotic ribosome. Lineage: Eukaryota; Viridiplantae; Streptophyta; Magnoliopsida; Ranunculales; Eupteleaceae. The record is from RNAcentral.
AACGACUCUCGGCAACGGAUAUCUCGGCUCUCGCAUCGAUGAAGAACGUAGCGAAAUGCGAUACUUGGUGUGAAUUGCAGAAUCCCGUGAACCAUCGAGUCUUUGAGCGCACGUUGCGCCCUAGGGCAUCCGGUUGAGGGCACGGCUUCCUGGRCGUCACGGA